This 497-nucleotide ribosomal RNA is filed under the name uncultured bacterium. RNAcentral's name for it is "partial 16S ribosomal RNA". It matches the Rfam family "Bacterial small subunit ribosomal RNA", at positions 28 to 507 of the family's 1533-position model. The record is from RNAcentral.
GAUGAACGCUGGCGGCGUGCCUAAUACAUGCAAGUCGAGCGAACGGACGAGAAUCUUGCUUCUCUGAUGUUAGCGGCGGACGGGUGAGUAACACGUGGAUAACCUACCUAUAAGACUGGGAUAACUUCGGGAAACCGGAGCUAAUACCGUAUAAUAUUUUGCACCGCAUGGUUCAAAAGUAAAAUACGGUCUUGCUGUCACUUAUAGCUGGAUCCGCGCUGCAUUAGCUAGUUGGUAAGGUAACGGCUUACCACGGCAACGAUGCAUAGCCGACCUGAGAGGGUGAUCGGCCACACUGGAACUGAGACACGGUCCAGAGGCCUACGGGAGGCAGCAGUAGGGAAUCUUCAGCAAUGGGCGAAAGCCUGACGGAGCAACGCCGCGUGUGUGAUGAAGGUCUUCGGAUCGUAAAACUCUGUUAUUAGGGAAGAACAUAUGUGUAAGUAACUGUGCACAUCUUGACGGUACCUAAUCAGAAAGCCACGGCUAACUACGUG